AUGGAUAGUUUACGAGGAGUUGAGAGCAGAUCAGCACCUGUAGUAUUGCAUAGGAUACGCAGACAUUCCCAUACAGUGACAGGUGUUCCUAUUCCAGCGAACGGAAGAUGAAUUGUAAAAAUUGUAAUAAGAAGACCAAUUGUUGCUGUAAAAAAUGUACAUUAGAAAAGCUAAAAAUAUAUUCCCGACGAGAGAAUAUUACACAAAGAUAUGAAGAAAAAGAACGACUUCAAGCAGAAAUACUAGCUUUCAUUGAUCCAACAGAGUCUCUGAAAGAGCAGAUAACAAUUAAAGAAGAUCGACUAAUAAAGCUUCAUAUUGCCGUUGAAAAUGCAAAAAUGCGGAUUGCAAUGAAGCAAAGUGAAGUGAAUAAAUUGGAUACUACUCCACAUUCUAAACCAUCACAAUUUGAUGCAGUUUUCACCUCACAGAGCAAUUUCAUCUCGAGAGCUGAUAUUAAGAAAAAAGAAAAAUCAGAAAGAUUAACGAAACUCGAAGAGGAAGUCGCUAAAAAGCGUCUAAAAUAUUGUAUUCAUGCGUGUCGCAUAUUUCCAGUUCAAGUGUAUGAUGUCAACGUGGAAAGUGUGACUGUGAAAUCGAAAAACUCGAAAAAUUGGGCAGUUGUGAACGAUUCAGAGCUGCAGAAGGGUUUAAGAAUAGCGAUUCGAAACUCCUACAUCAAUGAUAAACUACGAGCAAAGCUAGCAAAUCAACUAUCAAAUGGAACAAUAAGUCUUCCAUUGGAUCUACAUCCACCAUUUGCUGCCUUCACCAAUACACUUCAACUCGUUCAUUUAUUGAGUGUGAUUUUCAAUUUCCGACCACCAGAAACACUUUCUCAUCAUGAUUUGUGUAUUCGUGAACGGUGGACAAAAGAAUCAUUGAAUCGAGAUUGGUCGACUCUUUGUGAUGCAGUUAUCUAUUUGUGUAUAUUUAUUGGAAUGUCACAUACAAAAUUGAAGUACACUGAUCCACAUCAUAAUCUUAUUGCCCUCGCGUCUUUCGUUGUUAACGAUUAUAACAACAUUAAUCGAAUUGGGAGUCGUCCAAUGUGUGAUCUUUCGGAAGUUCAUGCCCUUAUUGAAGCUCAACGUCCAGAGGAUUGUCAGAAGAAAGACGAACUCGAUGAAUCUUGGACAUUUGUUGACUAA
RNAcentral lists this unclassified non-coding RNA (1151 nucleotides) under Caenorhabditis elegans. RNAcentral describes it as "Non-coding transcript of protein-coding gene epg-8". The record is from RNAcentral. Lineage: Eukaryota; Metazoa; Nematoda; Chromadorea; Rhabditida; Rhabditidae.